Long non-coding RNA from Papaver somniferum (opium poppy), 416 nucleotides. RefSeq lists it as uncharacterized. The transcript has 2 exons. Lineage: Eukaryota; Viridiplantae; Streptophyta; Magnoliopsida; Ranunculales; Papaveraceae. The record is from RefSeq and is a predicted model, not a curated record.
AGUCAAUCAAACAACAAUGUGAUAGAGAUGAAAAUGGGUAGUAGCUCCUCCAUGAAGAUAGUCAUGGCUUUGAUCUUUUCCUUGUUGCUUCUUGGUCGUUUCUCUGCUGAGGCAGCAGGAAGAAUUAGCGAUGGUGCAGCAGCAACAAAAGAUGUAUGUUUCAACCUAGAAGGAAAAUGUCCAAGUGGUCAGGAUUGUGAUAGUUGUUGCAAGUCAUCAUUGGGUUACUCCUCAGGAUGGGCGUUGCUUGGAAUUUGUUGUUGCCAAAAGGAUUCCAUGAAGGUCUAAUUUCAUUAUAUUAAUUAGCUAAUAAGAACAUCCCCACUGGAAUGUGAUACGGUUCCCCCAUGAAAUGCAAUGUAAAAGCAAAAAUUCCUUAAAAAAAUAUCAUCUCCAACCAUGGGGUUUUGAAAUAA